AGACCCGAAACCCGGUGAUCUAGCCAUGGGCAGGUUGAAGGUUGGGUAACACUAACUGGAGGACCGAACCGACUAAUGUUGAAAAAUUAGCGGAUGACCUGUGGCUGGGGGUGAAAGGCCAAUCAAACCGGGAGAUAGCUGGUUCUCCCCGAAAGCUAUUUAGGUAGCGCCUCGUGAAUUCAUCUCCGGGGGUAGAGCACUGUUUCGGCUAGGGGGCCAUCCCGGCUUACCAACCCGAUGCAAACUGCGAAUACCGGAGAAUGUUAUCACGGGAGACACACGGCGGGUGCUAACGUCCGUCGUGAAGAGGGAAACAACCCAGACCGCCAGCUAAGGUCCCAAAGUCAUGGUUAAGUGGGAAACGAUGUGGGAAGGCCCAGACAGCCAGGAUGUUGGCUUAGAAGCAGCCAUCAUUUAAAGAAAGCGUAAUAGCUCACUGGUCGAGUCGGCCUGCGCGGAAGAUGUAACGGGGCUAAACCAUGCACCGAAGCUGCGGCAGCGAACGUAUCACCCAAGACAACUUUACGGAGUUGACGAUUGACGGAGCGAAGCGACGUCAAAGCGUUCAUUAAAGUCGAGUUGGCUUAGGGAUACGUUCGUUGGGUAGGGGAGCGUUCUGUAAGCCUGUGAAGGUGUGUCGUGAGGCAUGCUGGAGGUAUCAGAAGUGCGAAUGCUGACAUAAGUAACGAUAAAGCGGGUGAAAAGCCCGCUCGCCGGAAGACCAAGGGUUCCUGUCCAACGUUAAUCGGGGCAGGGUGAGUCGACCCCUAAGGCGAGGCCGAAAGGCGUAGUCGAUGGGAAACGGGUUAAUAUUCCCGUACUUGGUGUUACUGCGAAGGGGGGACGGAGAAGGCUAUGUUGGCCGGGCGACGGUUGUCCCGGUUUAAGCGUGUAGGUGUGUGUUCCAGGUAAAUCCGGUUCACUUUAACACUGAGGCGUGACGACGAGGCACUACGGUGCUGAAGCAACAAAUGCCCUGCUUCCAGGAAAAGCCUCUAAGCAUCAGGUAACAUCAAAUCGUACCCCAAACCGACACAGGUGGUCAGGUAGAGAAUACCAAGGCGCUUGAGAGAACUCGGGUGAAGGAACUAGGCAAAAUGGUGCCGUAACUUCGGGAGAAGGCACGCUGACACGUAGGUGAAGUGAUUUACUCAUGGAGCUGAAGUCAGUCGAAGAUACCAGCUGGCUGCAACUGUUUAUUAAAAACACAGCACUGUGCAAACACGAAAGUGGACGUAUACGGUGUGACGCCUGCCCGGUGCCGGAAGGUUAAUUGAUGGGGUCAGCGCAAGCGAAGCUCCUGAUCGAAGCCCCGGUAAACGGCGGCCGUAACUAUAACGGUCCUAAGGUAGCGAAAUUCCUUGUCGGGUAAGUUCCGACCUGCACGAAUGGCGUAAUGAUGGCCAGGCUGUCUCCACCCGAGACUCAGUGAAAUUGAACUCGCUGUGAAGAUGCAGUGUACCCGCGGCAAGACGGAAAGACCCCGUGAACCUUUACUAUAGCUUGACACUGAACAUUGAGCCUUGAUGUGUAGGAUAGGUGGGAGGCUUUGAAGUGUGGACGCCAGUCUGCAUGGAGCCGACCUUGAAAUACCACCCUUUAAUGUUUGAUGUUCUAACGUGGACCCGUAAUCCGGGUUGCGGACAGUGUCUGGUGGGUAGUUUGACUGGGGCGGUCUCCUCCUAAAGAGUAACGGAGGAGCACGAAGGUUGGCUAAUCCUGGUCGGACAUCAGGAGGUUAGUGCAAUGGCAUAAGCCAGCUUGACUGCGAGCGUGACGGCGCGAGCAGGUGCGAAAGCAGGUCAUAGUGAUCCGGUGGUUCUGAAUGGAAGGGCCAUCGCUCAACGGAUAAAAGGUACUCCGGGGAUAACAGGCUGAUACCGCCCAAGAGUUCAUAUCGACGGCGGUGUUUGGCACCUCGAUGUCGGCUCAUCACAUCCUGGGGCUGAAGUAGGUCCCAAGGGUAUGGCUGUUCGCCAUUUAAAGUGGUACGCGAGCUGGGUUUAGAACGUCGUGAGACAGUUCGGUCCCUAUCUGCCGUGGGCGCUGGAGAACUGAGGGG
This 2062-nucleotide ribosomal RNA is filed under the name Salmonella enterica subsp. enterica serovar Typhimurium. Its description in RNAcentral is "partial 23S ribosomal RNA". It matches the Rfam family "Bacterial large subunit ribosomal RNA", at positions 711 to 2669 of the family's 2925-position model. The record is from RNAcentral. Lineage: Bacteria; Pseudomonadati; Pseudomonadota; Gammaproteobacteria; Enterobacterales; Enterobacteriaceae.